CGAACGGGUGAGUAACGCGUGAGCAACCUUCCUAUGACAGUGGGAUAGCCUCGGGAAACCGGGAUUAAUACCGCAUAAAAUCGUAGAAACACAUGUUUUAACGGUCAAAGAUUUAUCGGUCAUAGAUGGGCUCGCGUCUGAUUAGCUAGUUGGUGAGAUAACAGCCCACCAAGGCGACGAUCAGUAGCCGGUCUGAGAGGAUGAACGGCCACAUUGGAACUGAGACACGGUCCAA
This 235-nucleotide ribosomal RNA is filed under the name uncultured Eubacteriales bacterium. Its description in RNAcentral is "uncultured Clostridiales bacterium partial 16S ribosomal RNA". It matches the Rfam family "Bacterial small subunit ribosomal RNA", at positions 99 to 334 of the family's 1533-position model. The record is from RNAcentral. Lineage: Bacteria; Bacillati; Bacillota; Clostridia; Eubacteriales.